RNAcentral lists this ribosomal RNA (497 nucleotides) under uncultured bacterium. RNAcentral describes it as "partial 16S ribosomal RNA". It matches the Rfam family "Bacterial small subunit ribosomal RNA", at positions 28 to 507 of the family's 1533-position model. The record is from RNAcentral.
GAUGAACGCUGGCGGCGUGCCUAAUACAUGCAAGUCGAGCGAACAGACGAGGAGCUUGCUCCUUCGACGUUAGCGGCGGACGGGUGAGUAACACGUAGGUAACCUACCUAUAAGACUGGGAUAACUUCGGGAAACCGGAGCUAAUACCGGAUAAUAUUUCGAACCGCAUGGUUCGAUAGUGAAAGAUGGCUUUGCUAUCACUUAUAGAUGGACCUGCGCCGUAUUAGCUAGUUGGUAAGGUAACGGCUUACCAAGGCAACGAUACGUAGCCGACCUGAGAGGGUGAUCGGCCACAAGGGAACUGAGACACGGACCAGACUCCUACGGGAGGCAGCAGUAGGGAAUCUUCCGCAAUGGGCGAAAGCCUGACGGAGCAACGCCGCGUGAGUGAUGAAGGUCUUCGGAUCGUAAAACUCUGUUAUUAGGGAAGAACAAACGUGUAAGUAACUGUGCACGUCUUGACGGUACCUAAUCAGAAAGCCACGGCUAACUACGUG